Molecule: ribosomal RNA, 253 nt
Filed under: uncultured bacterium
Lineage: Bacteria
Description: partial 16S ribosomal RNA
Rfam family: Bacterial small subunit ribosomal RNA
Source: RNAcentral
UACAGAGGGUGCAAGCGUUGUUCGGAAUUAUUGGGCGUAAAGCGCACGUAGGCGGCCAUUUAAGUCGAAUGUGAAAUCCCUGGGCUCAACCUGGGAACUGCAGGCGAUACUGAGUGGCUAGAGUGUCAUAGAGGAUGGUGGAAUUCCCAGUGUAGAAGUGAAAUUCGUAGAUAUUGGGAGGAACAUCGGUGGCGAAGGCGACCAUCUGGGUGACAACUGACGCUGAGGUGCGAAAGUGUGGGUAGCAAACAGG